RNAcentral lists this ribosomal RNA (280 nucleotides) under Klebsiella ornithinolytica. Its description in RNAcentral is "Raoultella ornithinolytica partial 23S ribosomal RNA". It matches the Rfam family "Bacterial large subunit ribosomal RNA", at positions 585 to 867 of the family's 2925-position model. Lineage: Bacteria; Pseudomonadati; Pseudomonadota; Gammaproteobacteria; Enterobacterales; Enterobacteriaceae. The record is from RNAcentral.
CUUGUUAGGUGACUGCGUACCUUUUGUAUAAUGGGUCAGCGACUUAUAUUCUGUAGCAAGGUUAACCGUAUAGGGGAGCCGCAGGGAAACCGAGUCUUAACUGGGCGUUAAGUUGCAGGGUAUAGACCCGAAACCCGGUGAUCUAGCCAUGGGCAGGUUGAAGGUUGGGUAACACUAACUGGAGGACCGAACCGACUAAUGUUGAAAAAUUAGCGGAUGACUUGUGGCUGGGGGUGAAAGGCCAAUCAAACCGGGAGAUAGCUGGUUCUCCCCGAAAGCU